GGAUCAUUACCGAGUGCGGGUCCUUUGGGCCCAACCUCCCAUCCGUGUCUAUUAUACCCUGUUGCUUCGGCGGGCCCGCCGCUUGUCGGCCGCCGGGGGGGCGCCUUUGCCCCCCGGGCCCGUGCCCGCCGGAGACCCCAACACGAACACUGUCUGAAAGCGUGCAGUCUGAGUUGAUUGAAUGCAAUCAGUUAAAACUUUCAACAAUGGAUCUCUUGGUUCCGGCAUCGAUGAAGAACGCAGCGAAAUGCGAUAACUAAUGUGAAUUGCAGAAUUCAGUGAAUCAUCGAGUCUUUGAACGCACAUUGCGCCCCCUGGUAUUCCGGGGGGCAUGCCUGUCCGAGCGUCAUUGCUGCCCUCAAGCCCGGCUUGUGUGUUGGGUCGCCGUCCCCCUCUCCGGGGGGACGGGCCCGAAAGGCAGCGGCGGCACCGCGUCCGAUCCUCGAGCGUAUGGGGCUUUGUCACAUGCUCUGUAGGAUUGGCCGGCGCCUGCCGACGUUUUCCAACCAUUUUUUCCAGGUUGACCUCGGAUCAGGUAGGGAUACCCGCUGAACUUAAGCAUAUCAAUAAGCGGAGGAAAAGAAACCAACCGGGAUUGCCUCAGUAACGGCGAGUGAAGCGGCAAGAGCUCAAAUUUGAAAGCUGGCUCCUUCGGAGUCCGCAUUGUAAUUUGCAGAGGAUGCUUUGGGUGCGGCCCCCGUCUAAGUGCCCUGGAACGGGCCGUCAGAGAGGGUGA
RNAcentral lists this ribosomal RNA (736 nucleotides) under fungal sp. RNAcentral describes it as "eukaryotic LSU rRNA". The stretch from base 522 to 736 matches the Rfam family "Eukaryotic large subunit ribosomal RNA", at positions 1 to 215 of the family's 3401-position model. The record is from RNAcentral. Lineage: Eukaryota; Fungi.